AAAAAGACAAACCCUAGUUUCCGUGUCCAACGUUUGACCAUUCGUCUUAUUUGAAAAAAUUAUAAAAAAAAUUAAAAAGACAAGUCACGCAUAAAAUAUUAAUCAUGUUUUAUCAUCUAACAACAAUGAAAAUAUGAAUUAUAAAAAAAUUUCAUAUAAGAUGGACAGUCAAAGUUGGACACGAAAACCCAGGGUUUGCCUUUUU
RNAcentral lists this microRNA precursor (205 nucleotides) under Oryza sativa Japonica Group (Japanese rice). RNAcentral describes it as "MIR812 microRNA precursor family". It matches the Rfam family "MIR812 microRNA precursor family". The record is from Rfam by way of RNAcentral. Lineage: Eukaryota; Viridiplantae; Streptophyta; Magnoliopsida; Poales; Poaceae.